This 430-nucleotide ribosomal RNA is filed under the name Bacteroidota bacterium. RNAcentral describes it as "Bacteroidetes bacterium partial 16S ribosomal RNA". It matches the Rfam family "Bacterial small subunit ribosomal RNA", at positions 355 to 776 of the family's 1533-position model. Lineage: Bacteria; Pseudomonadati; Bacteroidota. The record is from RNAcentral.
UAGGGAAUCUUCGGCAAUGGGGGGAACCCUGACCGAGCAACGCCGCGUGAGUGAAGAAGGUUUUCGGAUCGUAAAGCUCUGUUGUUAAGGAAGAACGAGUGUGAGAAUGGAAAGUUCAUACUGUGACGGUACUUAACCAGAAAGGGACGGCUAACUACGUGCCAGCAGCCGCGGUAAUACGUAGGUCCCGAGCGUUGUCCGGAUUUAUUGGGCGUAAAGCGAGCGCAGGCGGUCAAUUAAGUCUGAUGUGAAAGCCCCCGGCUCAACCGGGGAGGGUCAUUGGAAACUGGUUGACUUGAGUGCAGAAGGGGAGAGUGGAAUUCCAUGUGUAGCGGUGAAAUGCGUAGAUAUAUGGAGGAACACCGGUGGCGAAAGCGGCUCUCUGGUCUGUAACUGACGCUGAGGCUCGAAAGCGUGGGGAGCGAACAGG